GGAAGAUGGAGGCUUAAACAUUCUCUGGAUAGGAAUUAACUCAGACCAAUUUUACAAAUAUUCAAACAACAUAUAGUAACUUACCCUCCCAAAAAAUUUCCAGUAUCUGCUUUUAAUGCAUUGAUUGCUGUACUGAAGUAUUAUUCCUGCAUUCGUUUAAAUUAUUUAUUCGAAAAUACAUACAGCAUAGAAUAGAAAUAUUCUAAUUUUGCCAUUUUAAAAGUUAGCAAUCAGAUGUUGACUUUAGCUAUUGUGUGAACGGUUUAGUUAUUAUUUGCAAACUACUUUCUAAAUUAAUUAUUUUUUAUAAUGUUUCAUAUUUUAAAAUGUUGUAAUAAAACCUUGCGUACAAUAAAUUAAUUAUAGAUCUAAUUAAGGUUUUUUGUAUAAAAGGAUAUUCUUAUGUGUGUUGCCGAACUACACUGCUUUCAAUUAGUUCAGAUAAUUGACGCUUUACUGUAUCAUAAUACUUUUAUUAUUCUGUCAGUAGUAAGUGUACCUUCUGGCCGUAUGAAACUGGCCGCAAAUUCUCAGCGGGAUGUCCUGACGUCACGACGUGACGUCACGGUGUUUGUUGGGGAAGGGCGCCCCGUAGAGGUUAUGACGUGUCACCGAUAGCAUUUUCGACUAUGAAUACCCACAGGACUAUGACGUAACGAAUAGAGCUAGGUUAUGACAUUUCGAUAAUUGUGAACAUAUUUAAACCUCAAACAUGAAUUUUAAUAUUGUAAUAAUUUUUUUU
RNAcentral lists this long non-coding RNA (742 nucleotides) under Androctonus crassicauda. The record is from RNAcentral. Lineage: Eukaryota; Metazoa; Arthropoda; Arachnida; Scorpiones; Buthidae.